This 499-nucleotide ribosomal RNA is filed under the name uncultured bacterium. RNAcentral describes it as "partial 16S ribosomal RNA". It matches the Rfam family "Bacterial small subunit ribosomal RNA", at positions 28 to 507 of the family's 1533-position model. The record is from RNAcentral.
GACGAACGCUGGCGGCGUGCCUAAUACAUGCAAGUCGUGCGGACCUUUUAAAAGCUUGCUUUUAAAAGGUUAGCGGCGGACGGGUGAGUAACACGUGGGCAACCUGCCUGUAAGACUGGGAUAACGCCGGGAAACCGGGGCUAAUACCAGAUCGUUUUUUCCUCCGCAUGGAGGAAAAAGGAAAGGCGGCUUCGGCUGCCACUUACAGAUGGGCCCGCGGCGCAUUAGCUCGUUGGCGGGGUAACGGCCCACCAAGGCAACGAUGCGUAGCCGACCUGAGAGGGUGAUCGGCGACAUUGGGACUGAGACACGGCCCAAACUCCUACGGGAGGCAGCAGUAGGGAAUCUUCCGCAAAGGACGAAAGUCGGACGGAGCAACGCCGCGUGAGUGAAGAAGGCCUUCGGGUCGUAAAACUCUGUUGCCGGGGAAGAACAAGUGCCGUUCGAACAGGGCGGCGCCUUGACGGUACCCGGACAGAAAGCCACGGCUAACUACGUG